GACGAACGCUGGCGGCGUGCUUAAUGCAUGCAAGUCGAACGAGAACUACUUCUCUCGUAAGAGAGAGGUAGGGACAGUGGCGAACGGGUGCGUAACACGUGAGAAACCUGCCUUGGAGAUCGGGAUAGCCCGGGGAAACCCGGAUUAAUACCGAAUAUCUUCCCGGCACCGCAUGGUGCUUUGAAGAAAUGGUCCGCCGCUCCAAGAUGGUCUCGCGGCCUAUCAGCUUGUUGGUGAGGUAACGGCUCACCAAGGCUAAGACGGGUAGCUGGUCUGAGAGGACGAUCAGCCACACUGGGACUGAGACACGGCCCAG
This 316-nucleotide ribosomal RNA is filed under the name uncultured bacterium. RNAcentral describes it as "bacterial SSU rRNA". It matches the Rfam family "Bacterial small subunit ribosomal RNA", at positions 28 to 334 of the family's 1533-position model. The record is from RNAcentral.